ACUUCUAGCGUUUAGUAUCAUACGGGCGUAUCUGCAAUGAUUCAUUCUUUUCAUCGAUUUUCUCUUCCGUUAAUAACAUUUCAUUAUUCUUGAUGCUAGUUCUAGUCGUUCUCUACAUGACUACAUCGAGGAAAAUUCACGACUACAAGGGAAAAUCGAGGAAGAGAAACCAAUCAUUGUAGAUACGCCUGUUUGAUACUAAGGGUCAGUUCCAAUUGGAGAAUUAAAAUUAGAUUUCACUUAGGCUUGACAGUUCGAUAAUUAUUUCCUUAGGAGAACUGUCAAGUUUAAGUGCCGAACUGUCAAAUUUAAGUAAAAAUCAAUUUAAUUCGUCAAUUGAAACAGACCCUGAGCACGAGUUUUUAAUUCUUUCUUCCAAGAUGGUCUAUUCCGUCUGGCUGAUCAAGGUCCUGUACUGGUCGUGCCAUUAUUUGGCUCAAUAGUUGCUGGAAAAUUCGAGAAUCCAGUAGAAAUAGGAAGCCAACCCAUGGUAACUUCCCAACUUAUUUUACAAGCACCUUUACGACGAAUUGAUUCAGCAUGAUGCUAAAUAACAUUUGGAUAAUUUUCAGGCACAACCUUUGUUCGGGUUUUCUUCACACAAAUUUGGAGAAACUAUAAAGCAUAGUGUUGUGCACCAACUGAACUGUUUGUUGUUAAAUCGUUUUACAACUAUAUAGUAAAGCUGUUAUUUAGCUUUAGCAAAAAUGAUUAAAAAUAAAUAAAAUGCUUUUUUUUAAUUUGCACGAAAGUUUAUGAUUGGAACUUAAUGCUGUGAACAAAAAUUGUGAAAUAAAAACUACACAUAAAUUUACCUAAAUCCAGAUUUGAACUCGAGACCCGUCGAUUGCCAGUCGCAUCUUGAGCCGCAUGCCUACCUAUUUGCACCAUCCUAGAGAUGAUGAAUUGCAGCUCUCAAAUUGAAACAUAAACCUCCCGUGGUUUAAUAAUGAUCAGACUUCGACUCCUAUUCAGCAGUGGUGAAUUAGUACAGACAUUAUUGUUAACGACUGAAUAACAUAUUAAUUCAGCCCUUGUGUAAUUAAAAACACGUGUUUUUCAUCAUAUAUUCUGAGUCGAAGAAUGAUGAAACGAGAGCGCUUAUUUGACUUGUGAAAAACACAUUAUACAGAUACAUUUGCUAAUUUUUACAUGAACUUAAACAGAAGCAGAAAAAAGUCUUGUUAAACUAUGUUGUAAAGGAAUUACUGCGAGUCUAAUAAAUAUCUUAUUAAACGCUUGAAAGGUGUUUUAAAUUAUUAUUGUUAAUACUAAUACGAAAAGUUAAACAUUGGCUACCUUUUCAAUUGAAAUAGCAUUUGUACAGUAAUGUGUACAGCAUAAUUUUAGUUCAGCUAUAAUUACUAUUAUAAAGCAACAAUUCAGCAUACAUGCUUAUUUGCGGCUGGCGAUUGUUAGUUGGGUUGUCAUGUGGCGACAGUUACCUCUGUCGGUUAUCAACUUGAACAAUUUUGGCGCAUUGAAGAGCUAAUCCAGCACGAUCGAAUGAUUAGAUCGUCCAAGCUAAACUACUCGAAAGCUGAAAUGGUUGGAGCAAUAAUUGACUGAGUAUCACGAUUUUCUUCAAGAAUACGUCGCUCUAGGCCAAAUGACUCCCCAAUAAGGUGGCCCACACUUACAUAUAUGAAAAACAAAAUUUUCGAAAAAUGCCAAGUCUUACCUCCUCAAUUAGUUGUUUUGGACUCCCAGAAGCUACGUUCAAAAUUUGAGCAAAAUCGGUUGAGCCUAAGGGGGCGCUCAAAACGCUUGAAGUUUGUAUGGGAAAACUUGGCCAAAUGUAUGUAGAAAUUUUAAGUUUUCGAAUUUUGCUGUUAGGUGGCGUUCAAUAAUUAUAAUCAAACCUUUUGGUAUUAUUGUAGGUGACUAUAUCACAAACGAAGAUACAGACGGAGCAGUAAUCGUUUUUUUCGGUACCACUUUUAUUUUCACCCUUUGGUAAGCCCCUCUCGCUUUGUGUAAUCAGCGCGCUUCGGUGAGCCCCUUGAACGGGCGAACUUAGCGAACUGUCAAGUCAGUUGUCAACAACAUGUUUGUUGACUUUGCAUGCUUUUUAUCUCCCCAGCAGCAACACCUGAUAGCACCGAAGACGAUGGAAGAGGAUAGUUUUUUUUUUCAAUUUAAUCCGUUAUUCCAUCGAGAACUUGGCCGGCCGACAGAUCCAGAGACUAAAGAAUUUAAUCUACAACCUUUGAUACCGAUGGCUGGUUCUGAAAACGAUGUGGCGUCAGUGAAAGUUCAGCCACAAAACUCGUCUCGCCGCGGAUGGAUUUUCGAAAAAUGUAUUGCCAAGGAUCCAUGAUUAAAUCGUCCACGCAUUACAAUGAUGGGAGGUCUGAAAGUUUGCGGCCUACCACUCGAAAAAAGAAGCAAAGUCAACAGAAAGUCGGUCAAAGCAAUGCAUCGAUAGCUGUUUCGCUGGACCCGGUCCGGCGCAAGACUUUCCUUCCGAUGGAACUAGAUAGCAAGCGGUUCUACAUCAAAGGUCGCUCUUCGUGCAAAGUAUGCAGCUGGAUUUUGGGAUAGCUUUCGGUAGUUGGGCAGUAUGGGCGUGGAACAAAAUCAGCCAGAUGUAGAAUAGGUGUCUAAAAACCGAAACUGGUUCGCUGGCAGGAUUUCGAUGAGUAUAUCGGGAAAUAUGCCGAUAUGCACUUCUUGAAUUUCAGUUUGUAUUAUAAUUAUGUUAUUCGAUUAAUGUUCUCGAUAAAUGUUGACUUAAAUAAAGGCUACCUGCUUGUGCAACAGAUAA
Molecule: long non-coding RNA, 2767 nt
Organism: Aedes albopictus (Asian tiger mosquito)
Lineage: Eukaryota; Metazoa; Arthropoda; Insecta; Diptera; Culicidae
Exons: 2
Source: RefSeq, a predicted model, not a curated record